RNAcentral lists this ribosomal RNA (433 nucleotides) under uncultured bacterium. RNAcentral's name for it is "partial 16S ribosomal RNA". It matches the Rfam family "Bacterial small subunit ribosomal RNA", at positions 29 to 507 of the family's 1533-position model. The record is from RNAcentral.
AACGAACGCUGGCGGCAUGCCUGACACAUGCAAGUCGAACGAGACCUUCGGGUCUAGUGGCGCACGGGUGCGUAACGCGUGGGAACCUGCCCUUAGGUUCGGAAUAACUCCCCGAAGGGGGUGCUAAUACAGGAUAAUGUCUUCGGACCAAAGAUUUAUCGCCUUUGGAUGGGCCCGCGUUGGAUUAGCUAGUUGGUAGGGUAAAAGCCUACCAAGGCGACGAUCCAUAGCUGGUCUGAGAGGAUGAUCAGCCACACUGGGACUGAGACACGGCCCAGACUCCUACGGGAGGCAGCAGUGGGGAAUAUUGGACAAUGGGCGAAAGCCUGAUCCAGCAAUGCCGCGUGAGUGAUGAAGGCCUUAGGGUUGUAAAGCUCUUUUACCCGGGAUGAUAAUGACAGUACCGGGAGAAUAAGCUCCGGCUAACUCCGUG